RNAcentral lists this ribosomal RNA (741 nucleotides) under Corynebacterium sp. OT4. RNAcentral's name for it is "bacterial SSU rRNA". It matches the Rfam family "Bacterial small subunit ribosomal RNA", at positions 72 to 826 of the family's 1533-position model. Lineage: Bacteria; Bacillati; Actinomycetota; Actinomycetes; Mycobacteriales; Corynebacteriaceae. The record is from RNAcentral.
GCCAGUGCUUGCACUGGUACUCGAGUGGCGAACGGGUGAGUAACACGUGGGUGAUCUGCCCUGCACUUCGGGAUAAGCCUGGGAAACUGGGUCUAAUACCGGAUAGGACCACAUUUUGGAUGGUGUGGUGGAAAGUUUUUCGGUGUGGGAUGAGCUCGCGGCCUAUCAGCUUGUUGGUGGGGUAAUGGCCUACCAAGGCGUCGACGGGUAGCCGGCCUGAGAGGGUGUACGGCCACAUUGGGACUGAGAUACGGCCCAGACUCCUACGGGAGGCAGCAGUGGGGAAUAUUGCACAAUGGGCGCAAGCCUGAUGCAGCGACGCCGCGUGGGGGAUGACGGCCUUCGGGUUGUAAACUCCUUUCGCUAGGGACGAAGCUUGUUUGUGACGGUACCUGGAGAAGAAGCACCGGCUAACUACGUGCCAGCAGCCGCGGUAAUACGUAGGGUGCGAGCGUUGUCCGGAAUUACUGGGCGUAAAGAGCUCGUAGGUGGUUUGUCGCGUCGUUUGUGUAAGCCCGCAGCUUAACUGCGGGACUGCAGGCGAUACGGGCAUAACUUGAGUGCUGUAGGGGAGACUGGAAUUCCUGGUGUAGCGGUGGAAUGCGCAGAUAUCAGGAGGAACACCGAUGGCGAAGGCAGGUCUCUGGGCAGUAACUGACGCUGAGGAGCGAAAGCAUGGGUAGCGAACAGGAUUAGAUACCCUGGUAGUCCAUGCCGUAAACGGUGGGCGCUAGGUGUGAG